Molecule: ribosomal RNA, 497 nt
Filed under: uncultured bacterium
Lineage: Bacteria
Description: partial 16S ribosomal RNA
Rfam family: Bacterial small subunit ribosomal RNA
Source: RNAcentral
GAUGAACGCUGGCGGCGUGCCUAAUACAUGCAAGUCGAGCGAACGGACGAGAAGCUUGCUUUUCUGAUGUUAGCGGCGGACGGGUGAGUAACACGUGGAUAACCUACCUAUAAGACUGGGAUAACUUCGGGAAACCGGAGCUAAUACCGGAUAAUAUUUUGAACCGCAUGGUUCAAAAGUGAAAGACGGUCUUGCUGUCACUUAUAGAUGGAUCCGCGCUGCAUUAGCUAGUUGGUAAGGUAACGGCUUACCAAGGCAACGAUGCAUAGCCGACCUGAGAGGGUGAUCGGCCACACUGGAACUGAGACACGGUCCAGACUCCUACGGGAGGCAGCAGUAGGGAAUCUUCCGCAAUAGGCGAAAGCCUGACGGAGCAACGCCGCGUGAGUGAUGAAGGUCUUCGGAUCGUAAAACUCUGUUAUUAGGGAAGAACAUAUGUGUAAGUAACUGUGCACAUCUUGACGGUACCUAAUCAGAAAGCCACGGCUAACUACGUG